GCGCCCGUGGCGGAAUUGGUAGACGCGUUAGACUUAGGAUCUAAUUGUUCACGCAGUGCAGGUUCGAGUCCUGUUGGGCGCACCA
This 85-nucleotide transfer RNA is filed under the name Prevotella sp. kh1p2. RNAcentral's name for it is "tRNA_Leu_TAG". It matches the Rfam family "tRNA". From Rfam's summary of the family: Transfer RNA (tRNA) molecules are approximately 80 nucleotides in length. Their secondary structure includes four short double-helical elements and three loops (D, anti-codon, and T loops). Further hydrogen bonds mediate the characteristic L-shaped molecular structure. tRNAs have two regions of fundamental functional importance: the anti-codon, which is responsible for specific mRNA codon recognition, and the 3' end, to which the tRNAs corresponding amino acid is attached (by aminoacyl-tRNA synthetases). tRNAs cope with the degeneracy of the genetic code in two manners: having more than one tRNA (with a specific anti-codon) for a particular amino acid; and 'wobble' base-pairing, i.e. permitting non-standard base-pairing at the 3rd anti-codon position. Lineage: Bacteria; Pseudomonadati; Bacteroidota; Bacteroidia; Bacteroidales; Prevotellaceae. RNAcentral also lists the same sequence under 1 other name. The record is from RNAcentral.